This 112-nucleotide ribosomal RNA is filed under the name uncultured bacterium. RNAcentral's name for it is "partial 16S ribosomal RNA". It matches the Rfam family "Bacterial small subunit ribosomal RNA", at positions 397 to 508 of the family's 1533-position model. The record is from RNAcentral.
CCGCGUGGGGGAGUGACGGGUUUCGGCUUGUAAACCCCUGUUGCCCGGGACGAAACGCUUCUUUCGAGGAGCUUGACGGUACCGGGUGAGGAAGCACCGGCUAACUCCGUGC